AGUGGCAAACGGCUGAGUAACGCGUAGGAACCUACCCCAAACUCGAGUAUAGCCCCGCGAAAGCGGGGGUAAUCCUCGAUAGCCCGUGAAGUAUUUUACUUCACGGUAAAGCUUUUGCGGUUUGGGAUGGGCCUGCGUCCUAUCAGGUAGUUGGUGAGGUAAAUGCUCACCAAGCCUAUGACGGGUAGCUGGUCUGAGAGGAUGGUCAGCCAGACUGGGACUGCGACACGGCCCAGACUCCUACGGGAGGCAGCAACUAGGAAUUGUGCGCAAUGGACGAAAGUCUGACGCCGCGACAUCGCGUGGAGGAUGAAGGUCUUCGGAUUGUAAACUCCUUUUCUCACCGAACAAGUUCUGAGUGUAGGUAAGGAAUAAGUGCCUGCUAACCACGUGCCAGAAGCAUCGGUAAUACGUGGGGCACGAGCGUUAUCCGGAUUUACUGGGCGUAAAGAGAAGCGUAGGCGGCUCAAUAAGUUUGGUGUUAAAUCUUCCGGCUCAACCGGAAACAAGCACCGAAAACUAUCGAGAUUGAGUCGAGUAGGGAAGAGGGGAAUUCCUGGUGGAGCGGUUAAAUGCGUAGAUAUCAGGAGGAAUACCAAGGGCGAAGGCACCUCUUUGGACUCGUACUGACGCUGAGGCUCGAAAGCGUGGGUAGCGAAACGGAUUAGAUACCCGUGUAGUCCACGCCGUAAACGAUCCCUGUUAGAUGUAUGUUUUGUC
RNAcentral lists this ribosomal RNA (720 nucleotides) under uncultured organism. RNAcentral's name for it is "bacterial SSU rRNA". It matches the Rfam family "Bacterial small subunit ribosomal RNA", at positions 94 to 833 of the family's 1533-position model. The record is from RNAcentral.